GAUGAACGCUGGCGGCGUGCCUAAUACAUGCAAGUCGAGCGAACGGACGAGAAGCUUGCUUCUCUGAUGUUAGCGGCGGACGGGUGAGUAACACGUGGAUAACCUACCUAUAAGACUGGGAUAACUUCGGGAAACCGGAGCUAAUACCGGAUGAUAUUUUGAACCGCAUGGUUCAAAAGUGAAAGACGGUCUUGCUGUCACUGAUAGCUGGAUCCGCGCUGCAUUAGCUAGUUGGUAAGGUAACGGCUUACCAAGGCAACGAUGCAUAGCCGACCUGAGAGGGUGAUCGGCCACACUGGAACUGAGACACGGUACAGACUCCUACGGGAGGCAGCAGUAGGGAAUCUUCCGCAAUGGGCGAAAGCCUGACGGAGCAACGCCGCGUGAGUGAUGCAGGUCUUCGGAUCGUAAAACUCUGUUAUUAGGGAAGAACAUAUGUGUAAGUAACUGUGCACAUCUUGACGGUACCUAAUCAGAAAGCCACGGCUAACUACGUG
Molecule: ribosomal RNA, 497 nt
Filed under: uncultured bacterium
Lineage: Bacteria
Description: partial 16S ribosomal RNA
Rfam family: Bacterial small subunit ribosomal RNA
Source: RNAcentral